GCUCACCAAGGCAGCGACGGAUAGGUGGUCUGAGAGGAUGGUCACCCACACUGGGACUGAGACACUGCCCAGACUCCUACGGGAGGCUGCAGUCGAGAAUCUUCCGCAAUGCGCGAAAGCGUGACGGAGCGAUGCCGCGUGCCGGAUGAAGGCCUUCGGGUCGUAAACGGCUGUCACCCGGAACGAAUAUUGACGGCACCGGGAGAGGAAGCCACGGCUAACUACGUGCCAGCAGCCGCGGUAAUACGUAGGUGGCUAGCGUUAUUCGGAUUUAUUGGGCGUAAAGGGUUCGUAGGGGGCCGAGUAAGUCUGAUGUGAAAUCCAACGGCCCAACCGUUGAACUGCAUUGGAUACUACCCGGCUAGAGUACUGGAGAGGUAAGCAGAAUUCCUGGUGUAGCGGUGGAAUGCGUAGAUAUCAGGAGGAAUACCGACGGCGAAGGCAGCUUACUGGACAGUUACUGACCCUCAUGAACGAAAGCUAGGGGAGCAAACAGGAUUAGAUACCCUGGUAGUCCUAGCUGUAAACGUUGUUCACUAGAUGUAGGCGGAUUGGUCCCGUCUGUGUCCAAGCUAACGUGAUAAGUGAACCGCCUGGGGAGUACGGCCGCAAGGCUAAAACUCAAAGGAAUUGACGGGGGCCCGCACAAGCGGUGGAGCAUGUGGCUUAAUUCGAGGCAACGCGAAGAACCUUACCUGGGUUUGACAUAUAUCUGACCGCCAUGGAAACAUGGUUUCUCUUCGGAGCGGAUAUACAGAUGCUGCAUGGCUGUCGUCAGCUCGUGCCGUGAGGUGUUCGGUUAAGUCCGGCAACGAGCGCAACCCGUGCUGCUAGUUACCAGCGAGUAAUGUCGGGGACUCUAGCAGGACUGCCCGUGCUAAGCGGGAGGAAGGCGCGGACGACGUCAAGUCAGUAUGGCUCUUACACCCAGGGCUGCACACGUGCUACAAUGACCGGUACAAUGGGAUGCCACUCUGCGAAGAGGCGCCAAUCUCUAAAACCGGCCCCAGUUCAGAUUGGAGUCUGCAACUCGACUCCAUGAAGUCGGAAUCGCUAGUAAAGGCGUAUCAGCAACGACGCCUUGAAUACGUUCCCGGGCCUUGUACACACCGCCCGUCACAUCAUGGAAGCCUGUUGCACCCGAAGUCGCUGACCGAACC
Molecule: ribosomal RNA, 1160 nt
Filed under: uncultured organism
Description: bacterial SSU rRNA
Rfam family: Bacterial small subunit ribosomal RNA
Source: RNAcentral